Molecule: ribosomal RNA, 586 nt
Filed under: uncultured bacterium
Lineage: Bacteria
Description: partial 16S ribosomal RNA
Rfam family: Bacterial small subunit ribosomal RNA
Source: RNAcentral
UGGGGAAUUUUGGACAAUGGGCGAAAGCCUGAUCCAGCAAUGCCGCGUGUGUGAAGAAGGCCUUCGGGUUGUAAAGCACUUUUGUCCGGAAAGAAAUCCUUGGCUCUAAUACAGUCGGGGGAUGACGGUACCGGAAGAAUAAGCACCGGCUAACUACGUGCCAGCAGCCGCGGUAAUACGCAGGGUGCAAGCGUUAAUCGGAAUUACUGGGCGUAAAGCGUGCGCAGGCGGUUUGCUAAGACCGAUGUGAAAUCCCCGGGCUCAACCUGGGAACUGCAUUGGUGACUGGCAGGCUAGAGUAUGGCAGAGGGGGGUAGAAUUCCACGUGUAGCAGUGAAAUGCGUAGAGAUGUGGAGGAAUACCGAUGGCGAAGGCAGCCCCCUGGGCCAAUACUGACGCUCAUGCACGAAAGCGUGGGGAGCAAACAGGAUUAGAUACCCUGGUAGUCCACGCCCUAAAACGAUGUCAACUAGUUGUUGGGGAUCCAUUUCCUUAGUAACGUAGCUAACGCGUGAAGUUGACCGCCUGGGGAGUACGGUCGCAAGAUUAAAACUUAAAUGAAUUGACGGGGUCAUAGCUGUUUCCU